UCUCCGUUGGUGAACCAGCGGAGGGAUCAUUACUGAGUUAUCCAAAACUCCCAACCCUUUGUGAACUUACCACUGUUGCCUCGGCGAGUUGUGCUACCCUGUAGCUACCCUGUAGCUACCCGGGAACACAUUCCAAGCUCGCCAGAGGACCUACCAACUCUGUUUUAUACUGUAUCUCUGAACUUUAUAACUAAAUAAGUUAAAACUUUCAACAACGGAUCUCUUGGUUCUGGCAUCGAUGAAGAACGCAGC
This 252-nucleotide unclassified non-coding RNA is filed under the name uncultured fungus. RNAcentral describes it as "sequence contains ITS1, 5.8S rRNA gene". The stretch from base 204 to 252 matches the Rfam family "5.8S ribosomal RNA", at positions 1 to 49 of the family's 154-position model. The record is from RNAcentral. Lineage: Eukaryota; Fungi.